This is a long non-coding RNA of Gadus macrocephalus (Pacific cod), 1179 nucleotides long. RefSeq lists it as uncharacterized. The record is from RefSeq and is a predicted model, not a curated record. The transcript has 2 exons. Lineage: Eukaryota; Metazoa; Chordata; Actinopteri; Gadiformes; Gadidae.
UCGGCGUUUUAAAAUGACCCCACAAACAAGCAACCUGAGGGUUUAAACACAGUGGUUUAAAACGUUCUUACAAACAGUGGUUUAAGAUGUUCUUUAAAAUGUUCUUACAGUGGUUUAAUAUGUUCUUUAAAAUGUUCUUACAGUGGUUUAAGAUGUUCUUUAAAAUGUUCUUACAGUGGUUUAAAAGGUCAUUUUAAAAUGUUUCUACAGUGGUUUAAUAUGUUCUUUAAAAUGUUCUUACAUUGGUUUAAGAUGUUCUUUAAAAUGUUCUUACAGUGGUUUAAAAGGUUAUUUUAAAAUGUUUCUACAGUGGUUUAAUAUGUUCUUACAAACAGUGGUUUAAGAUAAUCAGGAUCGCUUUAACUCACUUUAUUUGGUAAUGUUUUCGACUAGUCUCUAUGAAGCAAAAGGAGGGGAAUUGCAUGAGCACGCGUGGAGAUACACUUAGUAGGGCAUCUGAAGGAUGCGUUACCUGGAGCGUUGUAGCCCCCUGGGCUAUGUGUUGUGACUUAUCUACUGGGCAGGCGUGGACUCAGUUAUGUGCUCUGAUUGGCUAGGCAUGGUGCUGAACUCCCACCCCCCUGGAUACCCGUAUGUGUCUUUAUGCUGGCCCUUGCGGCUAUGUGUUGGCAUUGCAACUUUGUUUGUGGCUAUGUGCGGGAAUUACACUUGUUCUUGUGGCCUUGAGCAUCUGGGUCUCUCGAACAUCUUGACCGCUCGUAUCUCUAGAAUUGACACAUGAUGAAUGGCCUCCUUUAUGAGCUGGACGCCUCCCUAGGCUCGGGAUCCCUCCUUAGCGUGAGAAAGAAGCCUCUUUAAUUGGCAAGGGCAUAUGUGGCCUUGGUAUGAAUGUGUGAAUUAUGUUACAGUUUAAAAUGUUCUUUUAAAAUGUUUCUACAGUGGUUUAAAACGUUCUUACAGUGGUUUAAGAAGUUCUUUAUAAUGUUCUUACAGUGGUUUAAAAUGUUAAUGAAAAGGUUCUUACAGUGGUUUAAGAUGUUCUCAAAAACAGUGGUUUAAAAUGCUCUUACAAACAGUAGUUUAAAAUGUCCUCAAAAACAGCGGAUAUAAAUGUCUGUACAAACAGUGGUUUAAAAUGGGUCCACAAACAUUAUGACGUUAUAAUAAACGAUACAGUCAAUUUGUAUAGUGUGGUUAAGCACACAUUGCAAAGUACAA